This is a long non-coding RNA of Pezoporus flaviventris, 395 nucleotides long. RefSeq lists it as uncharacterized. The transcript has 3 exons. The record is from RefSeq and is a predicted model, not a curated record. NCBI's taxonomy places the organism in Eukaryota, Metazoa, Chordata, Aves, Psittaciformes, Psittacidae.
ACACCUCUGUGUGAACAUCCCAGACAACCCAGGGCACCCUCAGCUCUCAGGCGAAGCCUGGAACUCAGAAAUCACUGCUAUGCUUCCAGUGGGUGAAACUGGCAAGUUCAAGUUGCAAACCCCGCAGUAGUUGGAGACUGCUUCCAGAGGAGUGCACGGCUCUAAAACCUCAUGCAUUCAUCAAAAGCCAGUCACACAAACAAGCAACUUUUCAAGGAUGAAGUAGAAUGACGAAGGGCAGAACUCUUCACUGCACAGGAAGGACAGAGUUUCACAGAUUUUAAAUACAUAGAUCGGUACUUUCAAAAAGAGUUGGAAGCUUCACAUACUCCAGAGCAGUUGUAUAUUGGUGAACAUCAGUAAGUUCAAGUCAAAUUUGAAGCAACUGCAACUAA